RNAcentral lists this ribosomal RNA (406 nucleotides) under uncultured bacterium. RNAcentral describes it as "bacterial SSU rRNA". It matches the Rfam family "Bacterial small subunit ribosomal RNA", at positions 28 to 418 of the family's 1533-position model. The record is from RNAcentral.
GACGAACGCUGGCGGCGUGCCUAACACAUGCAAGUCGUGCGAGAAAGUUCCUUCGGGAGCGAGUAAAGCGGCGCACGGGUGAGUAACACGUAGGUAACCUGCCCCCCAGUCUGGAACAACUAGAGGAAACUCUAGCUAAUGCCGGAUGAGACCACGAUCCCUUCGGGGGUUGCGGCCAAAGAUGGCCUCUACUUGUAAGCUAUCGCUGAGGGAUGGGCCUGCGGGCCAUUAGCUUGUUGGUGAGGUAACGGCUCACCAAGGCUGUGAUGGCUAGCUGGUCUGAGAGGAUGACCAGCCACACUGGGACUGAGACACGGCCCAGACUCCUACGGGAGGCAGCAGUGGGGAAUAUUGCGCAAUGGGCGAAAGCCUGACGCAGCGACGCCGCGUGGGUGAUGAAGGCCUU